This 467-nucleotide ribosomal RNA is filed under the name uncultured bacterium. RNAcentral describes it as "partial 16S ribosomal RNA". It matches the Rfam family "Bacterial small subunit ribosomal RNA", at positions 28 to 507 of the family's 1533-position model. The record is from RNAcentral.
GACGAACGCUGGCGGCGUGCUUAACACAUGCAAGUCGAACGGAAAGGCCUCUUUCGGGGGGUACUCGAGUGGCGAACGGGUGAGUAACACGUGAGUAACCUGCCCUUGUCUUUUGGAUAACUUCAGGAAACUGGGGCUAAUACCGGACAGCAGCUCCUGCUGCAUGGUGGGUGUUGGAAAGUUUCGGCGGGUGGGGGUGGGGUCGCCGCUCAUCAGCUUGUUGGGGGGGUAGUGGCCUACCAAGGCUUCGGGGGGUCGGCCGGCUGGGGGGGUGGCCGGCCAACUUGGGGCUGGGAUACGGCCCAGACUCCUACGGGGGGGAGGAGGGGGGAAAUAUGGACAAUGGGGGGGAGGCUGGUGGAGCAAAGCCGGGUGCGGGGUGAAGGGCUUCGGGUUGGAAACCGCUUUCGCGCAGGAAGGAACUUUGUGUGACGGUAGUGGGUGAAGAAGCACCGGCUAACUACGUG